AGUAAAGAUGUAAUCGGUGU
Molecule: non-coding RNA, 20 nt
Filed under: Rattus norvegicus (Norway rat)
Lineage: Eukaryota; Metazoa; Chordata; Mammalia; Rodentia; Muridae
Source: RNAcentral